RNAcentral lists this long non-coding RNA (3944 nucleotides) under Daphnia magna. RNAcentral describes it as "uncharacterized LOC116928065". The record is from RNAcentral. Lineage: Eukaryota; Metazoa; Arthropoda; Branchiopoda; Diplostraca; Daphniidae.
CUUUUUUUCCCCUUCCCUUCCCCUGCCCUCCCCAACCUCUCCCAACUGGACCCGGAGGCGUACUAUAAGUACACCCAAGCCAACUUAAUUUGAACCGACAGAAUAGUGUGAUGCAAUACCGAUUUUUUUUCUCAAUAAAUUUAAUCCCACCGCGAGCCAUAAAGCGUUGUUUUAGAAAUCCUAUCGGGAUGCGUAAACUCAAUCUGCCGUUCUUGGAAAGACGUACUUUCUAGAAAAGAUGCCAAGGAAACCGAAUGACUCGCUGAAAGAUUCGUCGACGAGUGUUAGUAAACGGGAAACUUCUAGUUGCUUACGUCAAGGACCUUUCGCCCCCCUCCUCUCUCUGGCCGUAACGUCAAACAAUUAAUUUCGAUUGAAUGUGGGGUAAUUAAACGAUGGAUUAAAACAUCCUUGCCCUCUUUUCUAUCGGCUGGUCUGCGACCCGAGAUUUUUAAAAACUGUCACAGUACAAAUAUAUGAUUUUUAUAAACGACAUUUAAAAAUGAAAGUCCCGUUGGCCAUGCUCAAGGUUAUAUUGCAUGUAAUUUACGUUUAAUGUCACCUUAGCGAAAUCCUCUUGUUUAGCUAUUCAUUGGAUUCUCUCGAGUCUAGAAUGAAAUUAAUGUUUUGGAGGUCCCGUCUUUUUCAAUGUUUUAAAUCUAAUAAAGAAGAACUUGGAUUUUUAAAAAACAUAAAAAAGUACAACAUGUGGCGAGUUCUUUUUCUCUUCUUGUUACGAGGGCGGUGCACGUGUCACGACGUGUUUCUCCGCUGUAGGUCAACGGUCUCGUAACACAGGAUAUAUUUCUCUCUCUCUCUCUCUCAUUCUGUCGGUUUGUGUAUACACAGAAACCCUAAAGGUCUUAAAUGUGUACAUACCGCCAGAAUCGUCUACACAUCCCAAACUACUAGCAGUAGACAAUCAAGACUAUGUUGUUUGAUUAUAAACACAUACUUGUCUUUUCUUAUUUUUCAUCUGAUAAAACCUGAUUCUGGCUAGAGGUCAUUAUUGGCAAACCAUCAACGUUUUCUUUUGUGUCUAUUUGUCUCGGACUUUUUUUGGUUUUGUUACUGUUCCAAUCUGUCAAGUCGCGUGCAAUUUCAAUAGAGGUGAAAGGCGACCUCCUUUUAUCUGCAUUUUUACGAUUUCAUUGUAAUCGCGUCAUUGUAUAUCUAGUCAGUCUUAAAAAAAAAAAAAGAAAAAUUACUAGUAAAACAUCAAAUUUUUUUCACGUCUACAAAAAAGUUUAGUGAAUAGUGCCAAAAUACACUACUCAGCCCACCUUUCUCUAUGGCGUUCACCUGGAUACUUUCCACAUUUAAUAGGAACAUGCACGAUCUACUGUUCCGAUUUUUUAGAUGUGAUAUGUGUCUGUGAUCGAUAUCGUCGUUCUGCAGGGGAAAACACAUCGUUCCUUUUUUUAAAUGUAGAUAGAUAUAUUUUUUUCAUUUAUGUAGCCACAGUUGUAUAGUUUAAAAAAUCGAUAAGAUCGUCACGCCGGCUUUCACCUGCAAGUUUUUAGUUUUUUUGACAGGUAAAUAAUACCUGUGGAAACGAAAAAUAAUGAGUCAUAAGCGGCUUCCAAUCGUAAGAGGGUUAUGCAAUAAAAUUUUAAUAGUUUAAGCCACACGAACUCUGUGAUGACGCAAUACAGGUUUUGAUCGCGAUUUAAUUUAUCAUACAGCGCAUUUUUUAAAAAGCCAGUCCCGUUUUUUUUUUCCUCUAAUUAUUUGUGGACAUUUUCUUUGGGAAAAACAAGCAAAAUUCUCACGCAAAAAAUUGACAAAUCUUUCCUCUCGUGUUCUCAAUUUGUUUUCUUUCUCUAGUCUCAUUGUGAAAAACAUUCACAAGAGAACAAAAACGAGCAGAUGAUUUCGGAAAUUUCUUUCAAAACCUCCCCCCUUAAAAAACGAGUAGCACAAGAGAAAAAAUUCUGCUGGUCUAUGACAGACGGGGGUCAACGAUGAUCCGUUGAUGGGUCGGUGUUCCAUGUGCCCCUUUACGUCUCUACCAUAUCAUCUGAAAACCAGAUGGACUUUUCUGUGUGAGGGCUACUGGAUGAAGAAAAGGGCAGGUGUGCCAAUAGGCAGAGGGCUGCCGAUUGUCCUCGACACGGGGCAGGGAACCGUUGAUCUACUAAUACAGAGAGGCCUACCUCUAAAAAAGCCUUUGGUUAUUUGGUUAUAACGGUCGCACGAGCCCCAGUCAACAGCAAUAGGCCCUUAGUUAUGAGAGUCCUCCGCCAAGAGGGGUGUGCUAGUUGAAUAGCUGCUGUGUUUAAAUAGCGAGCGGCAAUUGAUGCAAGACAUUUUUUCUAUGCACACCUUUAGGCGUUACAAUCAUUUGUUACACAGUAGGUCGAAAGCUCUACUUUUUUUUAUGAUGGAACUAGAAUUUGAUUUGGCUACCAAGAAUUUAAGACAAUGCAGCAGCCCGAAAACGUAAAUGUAUACCGCUCCACUUUAAACAGCGGCUCGACCACCUGGAUACACCGCGGCAGAUCAAUCAGCAGGUGUUACGACCCCUAGUACAAAAUAUCUUUCGGUUGUUUGUAGCCUCUAAGCCUCGAAAACAAAAAUAGCUUCUUCAUCGUAUCAAUAAUUUUAAAAAUGAGCCAUUUCCAUUUGAUUUCUAACCGCUUUUUUGUUGUUGAAAAAUUCAAUAGAUUGUAAGUACCCUGUACAGGGCAAGAAGAAGGAAAAAAAAAAAACGAUUGCUCUCUUUAUAGACUCUUGAAGAGUUGGCCAUUCAACCAGCCUCAAUAGACCACUGCCAUCUGCCCUGUUUGACGUCUCGAGGAGCAGACAAAAAGUGUGUCUAUACCUGACUGUGAAUAAUGCAACCCGUCCAGGUGAAAAAAAGAUGGCAGCCAACGGUGUCAAUGGCCCUGAUCUCUUAAAAGCAUAUACAAGCAUUUCGUGAAUACCGUGAAAAGAGAAGUCCCGUCAAAAAUUGGCUUCAAUUUUUCCAUUCUCUUUUUUUUUGGCAUGAUUUGGGCGGACGGAAAAAUAUAUAAGAUCAAACGAAUAAAUGAUUGAUAGCAAUAACGCUACUGCUGAUAUUUCAAAUUAGGAAGAAAAGUGUUUUUUUCUUUCUUCAACUGGAUAAUCAAUGAUAAAAAAGAACUAAGAAAAAGACGAAAUGGAUUGAGGUCAAUUCCGGGAGACGGUGUGUGUGUAUUCAUUUACUUGCACAGUUUUUUUUUUUGUUGUCCUACGGCAUCAGCACCGCGGUGGCAAAUACAAGCAAAGGAGUGCCCCUUCUCCUUUUGAACAAUAUUCAGAGUUGGAUGAUGACUGGCUCGUGUCCGGUUGCCUUCAAAAAGAUUUUAAAUCCAGCGACCGUAAUGCUAGUGGUGGCCUCGUUGGUCAUCGGGUGAAAGUUCAAAUAAGAAUCUUUACCGUUCUUCUCAUCCCAAAGCUGCCCGUCUAGCACGAAAGUAACGCGCUGUUGUUGGGCGUCAUUUAAUAGCGCAAAUGGCGUCACCGAUCCUUGCUGCACACCCAGAGUAGCUUCGAGCGUCUCAGCGUCAGCAAAUCGCAGCUCUUUAGCGCCAAUAAUUUUGGAAACUUGGCUCAGCUGGACAGUUGCAUCGUGACGGGCGGUUAUGAGGUACAAUUUGCCCGUUUUCUUGUCCUUCACCAGCAGAUUCUUGGCGUGAAAGCCGGCUAAAUGCGAAAUGUGUUCCAUCAUAGCUUCCACGGUGAACACGGCCGGAUGCUCGACGGUACGAAAAGCGAUGCCAAGUUCCUUUAGAUAAUUCUCCAGAAUACUGCGCUUGCUGUCUGACGGCGCGGUCUGUUUUACGUACGACAACAAUCACCCAUAUUCGUUUUUAACUUCACACACAUCAUUCCCGGAAGAAGACAAUUUUUCUUUUAUUCAAUUUACCGCCUGCUUGACAGUAGAUCGGCAGCGAUCCAUCCAGGCACGGACGUUUUUG